This 766-nucleotide ribosomal RNA is filed under the name uncultured archaeon. RNAcentral's name for it is "bacterial SSU rRNA". It matches the Rfam family "Archaeal small subunit ribosomal RNA", at positions 38 to 811 of the family's 1478-position model. The record is from RNAcentral.
CGCAUGUCUAGCAUGCGAGUCAUUGUAGCAUACAAGGCAUACGGCUCAGUAACGCGUAGUCAACCUAACCUAUGGACGGGAAUAACCUCGGGAAACUGAGAAUAAUGCCCGAUAGAACACUAUACCUGGAAUGGUUUGUGUUCCAAAUGAUUUAUCGCCAUAGGAUGGGACUGCGGCCUAUCAGUUUGUUGGUGAGGUAAUGGCCCACCAAGACUAUUACAGGUACGGGCUCUGAGAGGAGUAGCCCGGAGAUGGGUACUGAGACACGGACCCAGGCCCUAUGGGGCGCAGCGGGCGAGAAAACUUUGCAAUGUGCGAAAGCACGACAAGGUUAAUCCGAGUGAUUUGUGCUAAACGAAUCUUUUGUUAGUCCUAGAAACACUAACGAAUAAGGGGUGGGCAAGUUCUGGUGUCAGCCGCCGCGGUAAAACCAGCACCUCAAGUGGUCAGGAUGAUUAUUGGGCCUAAAGCAUCCGUAGCCGGCUCUGUAAGUUUUCGGUUAAAUCUGUACGCUUAACGUACAGGCUGCCGGGAAUACUGCAGAGCUAGGGAGUGGGAGAGGUAGACGGUACUCGGUAGGAAGUGGUAAAAUGCUUUGAUCUAUCGAUGACCACCUGUGGCGAACGCGGUCUACCAGAACACGUCCGACGGUGAGGGAUGAAAGCUGGGGGAGCAAACCGGGAUUAGAUACCCGGUAGUCCCAGCUGUAACUAUGCAACUCAGUUGAAUGCAAUUGGCUUUGUGCCAAUUGCAGCUGCUUGCCAAG